GGUUACCAGGGUUAGAGCAGCCGUUAGAGGUCCUGCUUAACCAUUGGUGGGAGUCACAGUGGGCCCCAUCCCUAAGCGAGCAGCUGUCGUCAAGCUGCCGUUAGAGAUCCUGUUUAGCCAUUGGUUGGUGCUGCAGUUGGCCCCUCCCCCAAGCGUGCAACUGUCAGUGAGGAACCGUUAGCAGACCCAUCUCACCCAACGGUCCCCAGAGUGGUGGUCAGUGAUCCUUGGUGGCCGUCAGGUGGAGAGUGAGGCUCAGGAAUACCUUGGCCACUUUGGAAAAAUGUUCCCUUGAAGAAAAGUCCCAUGUUCCUGUGGACUUACUCUUUGAUGAGCUACUAUUACAUCUUUCUGCUGUUGUUGAAUGCAUCCCUAUGUGGAUUCUUCACCACUGAGCCACCAGGAAAGCCCAGCAAGUAUUAAUACCUAUCCUAGCAAAAACUGGGGAGAACAAGUAUGAGAAAAAUUAUUUAAAACCUAAAAUUACUUCUUUGGCCACAUUGUUUUGGUGGAAAUUUAUUGGAACCUCUAA
RNAcentral lists this long non-coding RNA (532 nucleotides) under Capra hircus (goat). Its description in RNAcentral is "lncRNA (ENSCHIG00000005793.1)". Lineage: Eukaryota; Metazoa; Chordata; Mammalia; Artiodactyla; Bovidae. The record is from RNAcentral.